Esox lucius (northern pike) is the source of this 897-nucleotide long non-coding RNA. Lineage: Eukaryota; Metazoa; Chordata; Actinopteri; Esociformes; Esocidae. The record is from Ensembl.
ACAGGAUCGGUGAGGUUACAAGAUCAGAUCAGAGAGUAGAUUGCUACCACAUUCUCCGGUCGAAGCGCGCGAAGCGUCAGUGGUCCACGCGCCGCCUUCAGUCUCCUCGCAGUAUAGAAAGGAGACACUUGGGGCAGGUUGGUCAGCGCACUUACGGCGGCUGAGAAUCCACGCGGGUGUCCGGUUCUUCGUGGCUAUCUCUCGAGCUAAAGAAGACUGGAGCAGAGUUAUUCUGCAGCUACAGUAGAGCAGUCGACUGUUACCAUACUGGGCUUUCCAGAGAAGUGAAGCAUGACAGCAUUCUCCGCAGGGUGAAACGGCGAUUGGCAACAUUAUGUUAUUAGGGACAGUUACAGAGUAAAUGUGCCAGCCCGUUUUGGGACACUGAAGAGCCUUAGAGCCGGAUGCUGACGGGCUGAGUGCAUCAGUGAAUAGACUAUCUGUGUGGACUCUGUCAUGCUAAGCGGGAUUACUACAGCAGGAAUUCAGCUCUUGUCUCUGUGGAACCAGAGAUGCUGCUCUGAUGGUGCAGUGUGGCAAUCAACUGGAGGCUGGUUCACUAAGAGAUUCCAGGCUUACAUUUCAUGUACAUAAAAGGAGGACUUAAAUAGGCGAGUUGUAUGUAUUCUUACUCUUUUAUUAAGGCCUGAGCCUUUGUCGCAUGAAGGGCUUACUCAAGACUUAAGAUUUGAGUCUUCAUCCCUUUAAAAAUGUUUUAUUGAUGGUGUGUGAAGCUGGACAAAGCUGCAUCACUAGAUGCAGGGUUUUAAAUUGAACACCUUUUCAUGUAAUGGGGCUUUUCAUAAAGGUAACAAUUUUAUUCCACUCUGCAGUUACUGACACACAUGGUAUUUUCCUUUGAAAGGUUGUGCUUUUGAAUAAACCUUUCAAUUCAAG